This 110-nucleotide ribosomal RNA is filed under the name uncultured bacterium. Its description in RNAcentral is "partial 16S ribosomal RNA". It matches the Rfam family "Bacterial small subunit ribosomal RNA", at positions 1373 to 1482 of the family's 1533-position model. The record is from RNAcentral.
CCCGGGCCUUGUACACACCGCCCGUCACACCAUGGGAGUUGGUUUUACCUUAAGACGGUGCGCCAACCGCAAGGAGGCAGCCGGCCACGGUAAGGUCAGCGACUGGGGUG